RNAcentral lists this ribosomal RNA (253 nucleotides) under uncultured bacterium. RNAcentral describes it as "partial 16S ribosomal RNA". It matches the Rfam family "Bacterial small subunit ribosomal RNA", at positions 524 to 776 of the family's 1533-position model. The record is from RNAcentral.
UACGAAGGGGGCAAGCGUUGUUCGGAAUUACUGGGCGUAAAGCGCACGUAGGCGGCUUUUUAAGUCAGAGGUGAAAUCCUGGAGCUCAACUCCAGAACUGCCUUUGAUACUGGAGAGCUUGAGUCCGGGAGAGGUGAGUGGAACUGCGAGUGUAGAGGUGAAAUUCGUAGAUAUUCGCAAGAACACCAGUGGCGAAGGCGGCUCACUGGCCCGGUACUGACGCUGAGGUGCGAAAGCGUGGGGAGCGAACAGG